GAUGAACGCUGGCGGCGUGCCUAAUACAUGCAAGUCGAGCGAACAGACGAGGAGCUUGCUCCUCUGACGUUAGCGGCGGACGGGUGAGUAACACGUGGAUAACCUACCUAUAAGACUGGGAUAACUUCGGGAAACCGGAGCUAAUACCGGAUAAUAUAUUGAACCGCAUGGUUCAAUAGUGAAAGACGGUUUUGCUGUCACUUAUAGAUGGCUCCGCGCCGCAUUAGCUAGUUGGUAAGGUAACGGCUUACCAAGGCGACGAUGAGUAGCCGACCUGAGAGGGUGAUCGGCCACACUGGAACUGAGACACGGUCCAGACUCCUACGGGAGGCAGCAGUAGGGAAUCUUCCGCAAUGGACGAAAGCCUGACGGAGCAACGCCGCGUGAGUGAUGAAGGUCUUCGGAUCGUAAAACUCUGUUGUUAGGGAAGAACAAAUGUGUAAGUAACUAUGCACGUCUUGACGGUACCUAAUCAGAAAGCCACGGCUAACUACGUG
This 497-nucleotide ribosomal RNA is filed under the name uncultured bacterium. RNAcentral describes it as "partial 16S ribosomal RNA". It matches the Rfam family "Bacterial small subunit ribosomal RNA", at positions 28 to 507 of the family's 1533-position model. The record is from RNAcentral.